Long non-coding RNA from Antechinus flavipes (yellow-footed antechinus), 4932 nucleotides. RefSeq lists it as uncharacterized. The transcript has 5 exons. NCBI's taxonomy places the organism in Eukaryota, Metazoa, Chordata, Mammalia, Dasyuromorphia, Dasyuridae. The record is from RefSeq and is a predicted model, not a curated record.
UAUAGUGAUUUAAUCAAGACUAGACUCUGCUACCCUAACCUCAUUUCCUUUGUCCAUAGGAUCGAAUGAAAUGUGAAUUAGGGGAAUGCCAUAAAUGUGGAUCUCUGCAAAGGAUUUGACAAAGCCUCUUGUACUUUUGUAGUGCGUGAGAUGAAGACAAAGGGAUUAGAUACAUUUGGGAAGAUUCAGAACUAGUUAGAUGCCUGGACCCAGACACUAGAUGUGUGACUCCAUUGGGGGAUUGUUUGAAGAAUAAAAACAACAACCAAACCUUACAGGCCCCAUGGGGAAGAGAAGACAAAGAGAAUUACCAGGGGAUGUGCAAUGUGAUUAGACCACCACACUGAAGAAGUGGAGGAAGAAAGAAGUACACAGUGCUCUCCCUUGCUGCCAUUUCUCACCUGGUUGCAGAGUAGGAAAUGUGCUGAGGCUCUCCUGAAAACAGAGGGCGAGAAGCAGGACAGUCAGCAGGGCCUUCAUUUCUCCAGUCGUUCCUGAAGGAGAUCAGGGCAGCUCAACGCAACUUGAAGAACCUCGUGGGUCUAAGGCCAUAAGGGAUUUCAAAGGGAUUCAGAGACGAAAAACAAAUAAACAGCGCUCUCCGCAUUGGAACGGACCCCCUCCAUGGGGAAUAAAUUGGUUGUCAGAGAAUAUGUUGUUGCUGCUGUUCGAACUUCCGUCUCUAAGAGGACCGUGACUUCAGGAUGUCAUUCAUUGGCUCUGAGUGAGGGAGAGCUGCGCAGUCACCAGCCUCACGUUCUCUUCCAGAACCAUCUGGGCCCAAUGGCCCGCUGUAGCUCGGGACGCCUUUUUAAACUAAGGCCUUUCUCGGGCCUCUGUUUGACUGAAACAACCUCCUUUCAGUAGUCAAGGUCGGGUAAGAUCUUUGUCAGAGAAUUAUAGUCCAGGAAAUCAUCUGGAAAGGGAAGACUUCUGGGUUUCUGGCCAAAACAGAAGUAAUUAUUAUUUAUAUAGGGAUGACCGCUUGUUGGUGAAAUUAUAUGGGGAUUAUGCGAAUAUUUCAACUGUAAGCCCUUGAAACUCCUUCUGACUAUGAGAUUCUAUGAUUCUAUGGUGAGCAUUAAAUAAACCUUUAUAUAACAAAAUAUACGCUUCUCAAGAGUACGAUUUUUUGUUUUUACCUUUAUAUAUUCAGGCCUAUCGCGAUAUAUGACACAUAUUGUUGUUUAAUAAAAGUAGAGUUAAACAGUGCUGAAUGUAGAGAGCCAGAGGCCCAGUCCCAGAUCUAACACUUAAUAUCUAGAACCCCUGAAGGAAAUCAUAAACUGGGCCUUAGUUGUAAAAAAAUGAUGUUGGCCUCUUAGGUUUGUUUUUCUGAAAUAAUGAAUUUCCUUAGAAUCGAGUUAAAAGUGUUUUGGGAGUUCUAUUGUUAUUGUUCUUUUCUUCUUCAUCCUUAUCUUCUUCAUCUUCCUGUUCUCAUUCUUUUUUUUUUACAAACAUGUAAAAGAAACUUCAGUUAUAGGCAAAUAGAAAGGCUCAGAAGUCCUAAGAAUUGGUCUUCAAAGAAGAUCAUGGGAUGAUAUCUUUUUUUUUUUAAAAUAAUUUUUUAUUGAUAGAACGCAUGCCGGGGUAAUUUUUACAGCAUUAUCCCUUGCACUCACUUCUGUUCCGAUUUUUCCCCUCCCUCCCUCCACCCCUUCCCCCAGAUGGCAAGCAGUCCUUUACAUGUUGAAUGGGUUGCAGUAUAUCCUAGAUACAAUAUAUGUGUGCAGAACCGAACAGUUUUCUUGUUGCACAGGGAGAAUUGAAUUCAGAAGGUAUAAAUAACCCGGGAGGAAAAACAUAAAUGCAAACAGUUUAUAUUCAUUUCCAGUGUUCUUUCUCUAGGUGUAGCUGCUUCUGUCCAUCUUUGAUCAAUUAAGGCUCUCUAUCAAAGAGGUCAACUUCCAUCAGAAUACAUCCUCAAACAGUAUCGUUGUUGAGGUAUAUAAUGAUCUCCUGGUUCUGCUCAUUUCACUUAGCAUCAGUUCAUGUAAGUCUCGCCAGUCCUCUCUGUAUUCAUCCUGCUGGUCAUUCCUUACAGAACAAUAAUAUUCCAUAACGUUCAUAUACCACAAUUUACCCAGCCAUUCUCCAAUUGAUGGGCAUCCAUUCAUUUUCCAGCUUCUAGCCACUACAAACAGGGCUGCUACAAACAUUUUGGCACAUACAGGUCCCUUUCCCUUCUUUAGUAUCUCUUUGGGGUAUAAGCCCAGUAGAAACACUGCUGGAUCAAAGGGUAUGCACAGCUUGAUAACUUUUUGAGCAUAGUUCCAAAUUACUCUCCAGAAUGGCUGGAUGUGUUCACAAUUCCACCAACAAUGUAUCAGUGUCCCUGUUUUCCCACAUCCCCUCCAACAUUCCCCAUUAUCUUUCCCUGUCAUUCUGGCCAAUCUGACAGGUGUGUAGUGGUAUCUCAGAGUUGUCUUAAUUUGCAUUUCUCUGAUCAAUAAUGAUUUGGAGCAUAUUUUCAUAUGUUUCAAUUUCUUCGUCUGAGAAUUGUCUGUUCAUAUCCUUUGACCAUUUAUCAAUUGGAGAAUGGUUUGAUUUCUUAUAGAUUAGGGUCAGUUCUCUAUAUAUUUUGGAAAUGAGGCCUUUAUCAGAACCUUUGACUGUAAAAAUGUUUUCCCAGUUUAUUGUUUCCCUUCUAAUCUUGUUUGCAUUUGUUUUGUUUGUACAAAAACUUUUCAAUUUGAUAUAAUCAAAAUUUUCUAUGUUGUGGUCAAUAGUGAUCUCUAGUUCUUCUUUGGUCAUAAAUUCCUCCCUCUUCCACAGGUCUGACAGGUAAACUAUCUUAUGCUCUUCCAAUUUAUUUAUAAUCUCAUUCUUUAUGCCUAGGUCAUGAACCCAUUUUGACCUUAUCUUGGUGUACGGUGUUAAGUGUGGGUCAAUGCCUAGUUUCUGCCAUACUGAUUUCCAAUUUUCCCAGCAAUUUUUGUCAAAUACUGCCUUCUUAUCCCAGAAACUGGGGUCUUUGGGUUUGUCAAACACUAUAUUAUUAAAGUUAUUGGCUGUUUUGUCCUUUGAACCUAACUUAUUCCAUUGAUCAACUAGUCUAUUUCUUAGCCAAUACCAGAUGGUUUUAGUAACUGCUGCUUUAUAAUAUAAUUUUAGAUCUGGUACAGCUAGGCCACCUUCAUUUGAUUUUUUUUUCAUUAAUUCCAUGGGGUGAUAUCUUAACUUAUGCAUGAAUUGGAUUUAAGUGAAGCAGAGUUGUACAUAGUUAUCUAAAACUGUAGAUCCCUUCUGAUUGGGAUUACCAGCGCAUAAUCCUAACAAUAAAGUUAAUAAUUCAUGUUCCUCUAAUGUUCUCAAAUUUAAGGAAAACUUUCCUUAUAACAACCCUAAGACAGAUAGUACAAGAGUUUUUAUCCUUAUUUGACAAAAUAGGAAACUGAGCCUUACAAAGGUUUGAGAGCCUUUUCAAUUGUCCAAUUUGAAUAGCCUGGAAUCAGGCUAUGAAACAGAAUUAUAUGGGAUUUUUGUUUGUUUGUUUAAGGCUUUCAUUUUAAGGCAGUGAUUUCUCAUCUUAUGAAAGAUGAAAUCUUUCAUAAAGCAAUCUAUAAAGGAGAUAAUCUCAGUUUAUGUUUUAUUCAAAUAAAAGUCAUUAUUCAUUUUCGAACAUGGAUUUUAAAAAUAGAAUAAAAGUAAUAUAAGAUAUAUCAUAUAAUUAAAAUCCCUAAAAGUGUUCAUAUUUAUAACAGGUAAAUAAGGCACAAAAGUAAUUUUAUUUCAUUUUAAAAUUGAGACAAAUUUAAAGAUUAUUAAAUUUAAAUGUAACUAUUGAAACAUUGUGAUGAUAUAAUUUCUGUUAAAGUCACUUAUUUUUUAAAAGCUGUAAAAUUUCUCUCUCUGUGUAUAUAUAUUUUAAAAGAAACUGGCUUAUUUUAUUAUGCUUCCAAAAUAAAUGACAUUGAGAAAUACCAAAAUAAAUGAUAUUAAUAAAUACAACAGAUAUGACUUGAGUUUUUAGAAAUGCUAUUAGGGAAAGAGGGGAGUCACAUUCAGGUUAAGUGUAAACUGAACAUCAUGGAGCCCUUUCCACAAAGAUUGAGUAAUUUUUGAGUUCAUAUCCUUCAUAUUCAAUUGGAGAUCAAUACAACUCAUCAGUCUCACAACUGUCCACACCAACCAGCUAUGAUGGGUCAAGGUUACCUGGAGAUGUAUAGCUCCAUUCCAAUUUGACCUUGGUUGGAUAUGUUUAUUAAAAACUCCCUGUACCACUGUCAGUUGGAGAUAAUUUACUGUGUUAGUCUUGGUUUUGUUGACUUGGAUUUAGACUUUGUUUUCAUAGACAAAAAUAGAUGUAUUUAUUUUAUUUAUGCAGGAGUUGAGCUUGGUAAUCCAAUCAUUUGGGCUAUUCCUUCACACCCCACCUGAGUUGCUCUUACAUCUGGGAAUGAGGAUGGACAGUGUGUUCCUCAGAUUAGGAAUCUGUUUCCAGGGUCAUUGAAGUCCAGUGGCAAGACAAAGUCAAGGUGCAGGGGAGACAAAGUGAUGACCUUGGCAUCUUUACUGUCUGACCAAAGUUUAAGUGCUCCACAGUAGCUGCUUUAGCCAUCUUCAUGGCCAUUGAAACAAAUUGUUCUCAUCCUCCUAUUCUACCGGGAGUAGAUUUCACAGGAUUUGGGUAGACACCUUCCUAAUUCACCUAAGGGUUUGUGACCCCUUGGUUACCCUUAAUCUGGUUUAGGGCACUGAUGAAAGUUCACUGAAAUGUGGCCACUGUGCAUAUUACAGCUUUUGGAGCCACGUGUGAGAGUUAGCUUAAUCACAAAGAGAAAGAGAGAGAGAGAGGAGAAUCAGAUAGACAGACACAGAAAGACAGAGAGAUAGAGACAGACAGAGUGAGUCAGAAAUAUAGUGAGGCAGACAGAGAGGGACAAAGAGAGGCAGUGACAUAGACACAGAGACAGAGAGAGAGAAAUAAAA